Molecule: ribosomal RNA, 681 nt
Filed under: Plasmopara densa
Lineage: Eukaryota; Oomycota; Peronosporomycetes; Peronosporales; Peronosporaceae
Description: LSU rRNA
Rfam family: Eukaryotic large subunit ribosomal RNA
Source: RNAcentral
UAGUAACGGCGAGUGAAGCGGGAUGAGCUCAAGCUUAAAAUCUCCGUGCAAUUUUUGCACGGCGAGUUGUAGCCUAUAGAAGCGUGGUCAGUGCGGGCACUUGGGGUAAGUUCCUUGGAAGAGGACAGCAUGGAGGGUGAUACUCCCGUUCAUCCCUAAGUUGCUUGUGCGUACGACCCGUUUUCUUUGAGUCGCGUUGUUUGAGAAUGCAGCGCAAAGUAGGUGGUAAAUUCCAUCUAAAGCUAAAUAUUGGUGCGAGACCGAUAGCAUACAAGUACCGUGAGGGAAAGAUGAAAAGAACUUUGAAAAUAGAGUUAAAGAGUACCUGAAACUGCUGAAAGGGAACCAAAUCGUUUCCAGUGUCUAUAAUCCGUGGUAUAUUACAUUGGCGAGUGUGUGCGUGCGUGUGCUGUUGCAGUGGCUUUUUGGCCGCGCUUGGCGUGUGUGCUGUGUGUGCUUGCUGGUGCCCUGUACUGCGGUGGGACGUCAAGGUCAGUUCGUAUGCUGCGGGAAAUGACCACCGAGGAGGUAGGGCUUACGCUUGCGUUUGUCUGUUAUAUCUUGGUGGACGAGUCGUCGCGGUUGGGACUGAGGUGCCUACAACGUGCUUUUGAGUGGGCUUGGGUCUCCGUGUGCGCCGUGUGCGGAUAGCUUGCUAUGCGUGUGUGGUUGUGUGUGGAU